This is a long non-coding RNA of Passer domesticus (house sparrow), 1353 nucleotides long. RefSeq lists it as uncharacterized. The record is from RefSeq and is a predicted model, not a curated record. The transcript is spliced from 3 exons. NCBI's taxonomy places the organism in Eukaryota, Metazoa, Chordata, Aves, Passeriformes, Passeridae.
AGUAAUGAAAGCACCAUUCAUGUACAAAACUCUUUCUGUAAGACAUAGUACUGAUUAAUGACAUUUUUUCUGGACUACUUUUCAAGUAUUGACAAGCCCUUGAACUAAAAAAACUAAGUAAUUUUGUAGUUCAGCUUUCCUGAGGGGAUUUAUCUGAAGUUUUCAUACUCCUAUAAAGUGGUUGGUUCAUCCUUUAUUUUCUUGACACCUUUCACUGUGGUAAUUCAUUUAAGACUGAGUCAUACAAUAAAACAAGAUACUGUUUCAGGAAAAAAAAAAAAAAACACAAGAAAGAAAUAAAGCAUGACUUGUUUAAGAAUCAAGUAAUAUUAAAUGUCAGCCUAAGGAGUCAGAGUUGACUAGUCCUGUCUACUUUUAUUCCUUUAUUCCUAUCUACUUUAAAUACAUCAAUUUUUGAAAACUUAUUAGAUAGACCCCAGUUCUCAAGACUCUGUGUAUACUAUAGUGUUAACAGGCCACACUGCUCAUAUGAAUGGGUAGACUGACAUAGCUCUAUUGGCCCUUGGUAGUUUUACGAUUAAUUUUGAAAGCUAAUGAUUUAACUCCAUAAUUUCCAGACAGAUGACUAGCUUUCCCAUUGACUAGCAUGAGAGAGUGAAAAAAUUGUUAUCUUUCCUGAAAAUGAACCCAUGGGAAUAAAACAUAAUACCUGCACACUUGUUGAAAGAAUAUGCUCAGUUGUCACUCAGAUAAUUUCUAUGAAAGUGUAGAAUCAUCACCACUAUGAUGCAAUAACAUGUCUCCAGCAUAGCUGCCAGACAGGGAGAGGAGAAACAGAGCUCUGCAUUUCACAGUAGUUUUAAUUGUCAUGAUUUGGUGAACUAGGAUAGUCCAUUGCACCAGUAUAUUUCCAACUCAGGAGGAGGCAAGGCAAGGCAAGGCAAGGCAAGGCAAGGCAAGGCAAGACAAGUAUCACUAUGGCCAGAAACUGGGGAGCAGGAUGACUGGAGACAGAGGAUUGUAGAACUUGGAUCAGCCAUGUUUUCUGGUUUAGAAUGUGUCUGUAAAAUACAAGAAAGUUGCUCAUCAUAAAUCUAAAGAGCCAACUGAUCUGUCAAGAUGUUACUGAGCCACAAUCCAUGGUUCUCCAGAGGGUUACAGACAGCGAAAUAAAGACGUGUCAAUCAGUGCCUGAUCUGGGUCAGCUUUAGUCAAGCACCUCUACCAGAAGAACAUUUUCUAUCAAAUACAGUAGACGAGGUAAACCAUUACUUUAAAAUAUGUAACCAUACUUGUGAGUUUUCCUUAUCCUGACUUCUAAGGCUGUGCAUGAGGAGAGACUGCAUCUUCCUAACCAGUGACUUGUGAAAAUUUGUAAGAUCACAAGAGUAA